AUGGCCUUGUGUAGACAUUCUUUGGACGUCUGCCUGAGAUCUGUCCUUGACUGUCAAGAAUGCCCUGCAGUAGAAGUGCUAUUUUCCUCAUGUUAGAUACUGAGGAAAGUGAAGCUUCGAGACACUCCCUAAUGUGCCCAAGAUGGAGAAGCUUGGAAGUGUUGUGAUAAUUUGUCCAAGGACACACAGCUGGGCACAGUGGCAUACUUGAACACUAUGUUAUCCUGCUUCUGUAAUGUCUGAAAUGGGAAAGAGUCUCAUUCACCUUUUGAUGAUGUCAACUCCAAGUAUUGCAAGGAUGACACUUUGAUGAUACUCUGGUUUUUACAAUUCUGAGCUUUUAACUCAAGAUAUCACCAGUUUUGGCUACCACAUCUCAGGAAGGACAUAACAGCACUGAGGAAAGUACAGGAGAAAGAACUGACAAAGGAAAGACUGGAGUCUCCAAGUGAGGACAUACUCAGAGGAUCAGAACCAAGUUUGGCAGUAAAAGUGUUAAAAGACAUGGUGAACAGAAGGAUAUGGCUGAAGUCUGGAAGUGAACAGUGAAAAUUAUCUGAAGAUGUUAGUAUUCAUCUCCAAUCUCCAGAUAACUAGAUGGACAUAAAAUCUUCACAUGGCGAAUAGAAUAGAGCCUGCACAUAGUUUUGGCUUGGAAGAAAUUAAAUCACACAGAUGUGCUUACUAAAAUUCACACCCCAGCCUGAGAAAGCUUCAGAACUGCACAGAAAAUGGAGAUCUAGCGCUCAGAUUGGUGGGGCUAGAAGUCCAGGGAAGGUACUUGUUCUUAGGGUGGCAGAGUAGUUAUGGGAUAGUGUUUCUCAAACUGUAAUAUGCUUCGCCUGGGAGAUAUGUGAUUCCUCUGGAGAU
This 870-nucleotide long non-coding RNA is filed under the name Equus asinus (donkey). RNAcentral's name for it is "lncRNA (ENSEASG00005029982.1)". The record is from RNAcentral. Lineage: Eukaryota; Metazoa; Chordata; Mammalia; Perissodactyla; Equidae.